This 732-nucleotide ribosomal RNA is filed under the name uncultured fungus. Its description in RNAcentral is "eukaryotic LSU rRNA". It matches the Rfam family "Eukaryotic large subunit ribosomal RNA", at positions 1 to 745 of the family's 3401-position model. Lineage: Eukaryota; Fungi. The record is from RNAcentral.
CUUUUGACCUCGGAUCAGGUAGGGAUACCCGCUGAACUUAAGCAUAUCAAUAAGCGGAGGAAAAGAAACCAACAGGGAUUGCCCUAGUAACGGCGAGUGAAGCGGCAACAGCUCAAAUUUGAAAUCUGGCUCUUUUAGAGCCCGAGUUGUAAUUUGCAGAGGGCGCUUUGGCGUUGGCAGCGGUCCAAGUUCUUUGGAACAGGACGUCACAGAGGGUGAGAAUCCCGUACGUGGUCGCUAGCCUUGGCCGUGUAAAGCCCCUUCGACGAGUCGAGUUGUUUGGGAAUGCAGCUCUAAAUGGGAGGUAAAUUUCUUCUAAAGCUAAAUACUGGCCAGAGACCGAUAGCGCACAAGUAGAGUGAUCGAAAGAUGAAAAGCACUUUGGAAAGAGAGUCAAAUAGCACGUGAAAUUGUUGAAAGGGAAGCGCUUGCAGCCAGACUUGCCUGUAGUUGCUUAUCCAGACUUUUGUCUGGUGCACUCUUCUAUAGGCAGGCCAGCAUCAGUUUGGGCGGUUGGAUAAAGGUCUCUGUCACGUACCUCCUUUCGGGGAGGCCUUAUAGGGGAGACGACAUGCAACCAGCCUGGACUGAGGUCCGCGCAUCUGCUAGGAUGCUGGCGUAAUGGCUGUAAGCGGCCCGUCUUGAAACACGGACCAAGGAGUCUAACAUCUAUGCGAGUGUUUGGGUGUCAAGCCCAGACGCGUAAUGAAAGUGAACGGAGGUGGGAACCUU